CCUACGGGCGGCAGCAGUGAGGAAUAUUGGUCAAUGGACGCAAGUCUGAACCAGCCAUGCCGCGUGCAGGAAGACGGCUCUAUGAGUUGUAAACUUCUUUUGUACGAGGGUAAAUCCCGAUACGUGUAUCUUGUUGAAAGUAUCGUACGAAUAAGGAUCGGCUAACUCCGUGCCAGCAGCCGCGGUAAUACGGAGGAUUCAAGCGUUAUCCGGAUUUAUUGGGUUUAAAGGGAGCGUAGGCGGUUUGAUAAGUUAGAGGUGAAAUCCCGGGGCUCAACUCCGGCACUGCAUUUGAUACUGUCGGUCUAGAGUAUAGUUGAGGUAGGCGGAAUGUAUGGUGUAGCGGUGAAAUGCAUAGAGAUCAUGAAGAACACCGAGUGCGAAGGCAGCUUACCAAACUACGACUGACGUUGAGGCACGAAAGCGUGGGGAGCAAACAGGAUUAGAUACCCCUGUAGUC
This 460-nucleotide ribosomal RNA is filed under the name uncultured bacterium. Its description in RNAcentral is "partial 16S ribosomal RNA". It matches the Rfam family "Bacterial small subunit ribosomal RNA", at positions 338 to 795 of the family's 1533-position model. The record is from RNAcentral.